UACGGAGGGGGCUAGCGUUGUUCGGAAUUACUGGGCGUAAAGCGCACGUAGGCGGCUUUGUAAGUUAGAGGUGAAAGCCCGGGGCUCAACUCCGGAAUUGCCUUUAAGACUGCAUCGCUAGAAUUGUGGAGAGGUAAGUGGAAUUCCGAGUGUAGAGGUGAAAUUCGUAGAUAUUCGGAAGAACACCAGUGGCGAAGGCGACUUACUGGACACAUGUUGACGCUGAGGUGCGAAAGCGUGGGGAGCAAACAGG
This 253-nucleotide ribosomal RNA is filed under the name uncultured bacterium. RNAcentral's name for it is "partial 16S ribosomal RNA". It matches the Rfam family "Bacterial small subunit ribosomal RNA", at positions 524 to 776 of the family's 1533-position model. The record is from RNAcentral.